Molecule: ribosomal RNA, 225 nt
Filed under: uncultured bacterium
Lineage: Bacteria
Description: partial 16S ribosomal RNA
Rfam family: Bacterial small subunit ribosomal RNA
Source: RNAcentral
AGUAACGCGUGGGUAACCUGCCUCAUACAGGGGGAUAACAGUUAGAAAUGACUGCUAAUACUGCAUAAGACCACAGUACUGCAUGGUACAGUGGUAAAAACUCCGGUGGUAUGAGAUGGACCCGCGUCUGAUUAGGUAGUUGGUGAGGUAACGGCCCACCAAGCCGACGAUCAGUAGCCGACCUGAGAGGGUGACCGGCCACAUUGGGACUGAGACACGGCCCAG